AUUAUUGGACCAGUUCUUUGACCAUGCCAUUGGUAUCAACGUUCCAAGGUCCCGCUUCCUACCAGUUAAGGCGACAUCAGAUUUGCAGCUAGUACAGUCUGAUCUAUAUACCUUGGUUGAUGGCUUCGUUACACGUAAUUCAGCUAGAACAAAUCCAUCAAAUUCCUCAAUUGAACUUGGUCCUGAGUUCAAGAAGGUUGGGAGCUUCAUUGGUCGCUUCAAGUCCAUACCUAGCAUUGUUGAGCUUGACAGCUUGAAGGUUUCCGGUGAUGUUUGGUUCGGUUCUGGAAUUGUACUGAAGGGCAAAGUGACCAUC
This is a long non-coding RNA of Zea mays, 316 nucleotides long. RefSeq lists it as uncharacterized. The record is from RefSeq and is a predicted model, not a curated record. The transcript has 4 exons. The annotation marks the transcript as partial. Lineage: Eukaryota; Viridiplantae; Streptophyta; Magnoliopsida; Poales; Poaceae.